UGCCCCAGCUCAGACCAGGGCUGCACACGUUUACCUGCAGUGUGCAUGCUUCUACCAGGAGACAUCACCUCCCAAAUUCCCUGAGGGACAGUUGCCAAAAUUAUUAAAUGAAGAACUGCUCUAUCAGGGAUUGAAAGCUGACGCGAUUCCACCUAUGACCCCCAGGGGGCGGAAGUGCACCUCAGCUCCCAGCUAUGGCCUGCGAAAGCAGUAGAAGAUGGCCCAAAUCCUUGGGCCCUGCACCCAGGUGGGAGAAAUGGAAGCUCCUGGCUCCUGGCUCCUGGCUCGGAUUGGCACAGCUCCAGCCAUUGUGGCCAACUGGGGUGUGAAUCAUCGGAUGGAAGACCUCUCUCUCUCUGCCUCUCUUCUCUCUGUGUAACUCUGAA
Molecule: non-coding RNA, 386 nt
Organism: Oryctolagus cuniculus (rabbit)
Lineage: Eukaryota; Metazoa; Chordata; Mammalia; Lagomorpha; Leporidae
Source: RefSeq, a predicted model, not a curated record